Molecule: ribosomal RNA, 486 nt
Filed under: uncultured bacterium
Lineage: Bacteria
Description: bacterial SSU rRNA
Rfam family: Bacterial small subunit ribosomal RNA
Source: RNAcentral
GAUGAACGCUAGCUACAGGCUUAACACAUGCAAGUCGAGGGGCAUCACAGUGUAGCAAUAACCCUUGAUGGCGACCGGCGCAAGGGUGCGUAACGCGUGAGCAACUUGCCCGUUUCAGGGGGAUAACCGGUGGAAACGCCGACUAAUACCCCAUAGCAUUGGUUUGAGGCAUCUCUUACCAAUUAAAGAGUUUCGGAAACGGAUAGGCUCGCGUGACAUUAGCUAGACGGCGGGGUAACGGCCCACCGUGGCGACGAUGUCUAGGGGUUCUGAGAGGAAGGUCCCCCACACUGGAACUGAGACACGGUCCAGACUCCUACGGGAGGCAGCAGUGAGGAAUAUUGGUCAAUGGUCUGACGACUGAACCAGCCAUGCCGCGUGAAGGUCACGGCCCUAUGGGUCUUAAACUUCUUUUGCGAGGGAGCAAUAAGGUCUACGUGUAGUCCGAUGAGAGUACCUCGCGAAUAAGCAUCGGCUAACUCCGUG